CCUACGGGCGGCAGCAGUGGGGAAUAUUGGACAAUGGGCGAAAGCCUGAUCCAGCCAUGCCGCGUGUGUGAAGAAGGCCUUCGGGUUGUAAAGCACUUUCAGUGGGGAAGAAAGCCUUGGGGCUAAUACCCUCGAGGAAGGACAUCACCCACAGAAGAAGCACCGGCUAACUCCGUGCCAGCAGCCGCGGUAAUACGGAGGGGGCGAGCGUUAAUCGGAAUUACUGGGCGUAAAGCGCGCGUAGGCGGUCUGAUAAGCCGGUUGUGAAAGCCCCGGGCUCAACCUGGGAACGGCAUCCGGAACUGUCAGGCUAGAGUGCAGGAGAGGAAGGUAGAAUUCCCGGUGUAGCGGUGAAAUGCGUAGAGAUCGGGAGGAAUACCAGUGGCGAAGGCGGCCUUCUGGACUGACACUGACGCUGAGGUGCGAAAGCGUGGGUAGCAAACAGGAUUAGAUACCCGGGUAGUC
Molecule: ribosomal RNA, 465 nt
Filed under: Vreelandella stevensii
Lineage: Bacteria; Pseudomonadati; Pseudomonadota; Gammaproteobacteria; Oceanospirillales; Halomonadaceae
Description: partial 16S ribosomal RNA
Rfam family: Bacterial small subunit ribosomal RNA
Source: RNAcentral